Molecule: ribosomal RNA, 936 nt
Filed under: human gut metagenome
Description: bacterial SSU rRNA
Rfam family: Bacterial small subunit ribosomal RNA
Source: RNAcentral
AGAGUUUGAUCCUGGCUCAGAUUGAACGCUGGCGGAACGCUUUACACAUGCAAGUCGAACGGUAACGCGGAGAGAAGCUUGCUUCUCUCCGGCGACGAGUGGCGAACGGGUGAGUAAUACAUCGGAACGUGUCCGCUCGUGGGGGACAACCAGCCGAAAGGUUGGCUAAUACCGCAUGAGUUCUACGGAAGAAAGAGGGGGACCCGCAAGGGCCUCUCGCGAGCGGAGCGGCCGAUGACUGAUUAGCCGGUUGGUGAGGUAACGGCUCACCAAAGCAACGAUCAGUAGCUGGUCUGAGAGGACGACCAGCCACACUGGGACUGAGACACGGCCCAGACUCCUACGGGAGGCAGCAGUGGGGAAUUUUGGACAAUGGGCGCAAGCCUGAUCCAGCUAUUCCGCGUGUGGGAUGAAGGCCCUCGGGUUGUAAACCACUUUUGUAGAGAACGAAAAGACACCUUCGAAUAAAGGGUGUUGCUGACGGUACUCUAAGAAUAAGCACCGGCUAACUACGUGCCAGCAGCCGCGGUAAUACGUAGGGUGCGAGCGUUAAUCGGAAUUACUGGGCGUAAAGGGUGCGCAGGCGGUUGAGUAAGACAGAUGUGAAAUCCCCGAGCUUAACUCGGGAAUGGCAUAUGUGACUGCUCGACUAGAGUGUGUCAGAGGGAGGUGGAAUUCCACGUGUAGCAGUGAAAUGCGUAGAUAUGUGGAAGAACACCGAUGGCGAAGGCAGCCUCCUGGGACAUAACUGACGCUCAGGCACGAAAGCGUGGGGAGCAAACAGGAUUAGAUACCCUGGUAGUCCACGCCCUAAACGAUGUUAACUAGUUGUUGGGAAGUAAUAUUCUCAGUAACGCAGCCAACGCGAGAAGUUAACCGCCUGGGAAGUACGGUCGCAAGACUAAAACUCAAAGGAAUUGACGGGGACCCGCACAA